CUUGUUCUUUGUUCUUUUUCUAAAUUUAUUUUGCUAAAUUCACUUUUAUUGUGUGUAAUUUGCUGACAGCCACAUCUUAGAUUGCUAAGCUUGCUUGCUAUCCACUUCCCAUCUUCAAUCAAGCUAAGGAAUCGGCAUGUGGCAGUCAGACUGGGAAUUCGGACAAUUCUUGAAAUGACUAAUUCCGGGUUCCAGGGUUCACCCUUCGAGUUCAGCAACCGCAGGACCCACUACCGGUCCUGUACUUACCUGCACCGGUUCACCCUUCGAGUUCAGCAACCGCAGGACCCACUACCGGUCCUGUACUUACCUGCACCGUUUCACCCUUCGAGUUCUACAACCGCAGGACCCACUACCGGUCCUGUACUUACCUCUACCGCUUCACCUUUCGGGUUCUACAACCCGCUGGAUCCACUUUCGGUCCUGUACUUACCCCACCGUUUCUGCUGCCCUGCUGCGCGCGCCGGUGUACCCCGUGUCGUCGUGGGAAGAGUUACAGGGAAGUGGUAGUUUUCCUACUGCACCAAGGGUGCUCAGCCAGUAUCAAAUUACCUGCGACCCAGAGAUCCGAUCUAUGUACUUGCUAGGGAUUUAAUGAAAUAAACUUGGUUUAAUUUCUA
Long non-coding RNA from Pectinophora gossypiella (pink bollworm), 620 nucleotides. RefSeq lists it as uncharacterized. Lineage: Eukaryota; Metazoa; Arthropoda; Insecta; Lepidoptera; Gelechiidae. The transcript is spliced from 2 exons. The record is from RefSeq and is a predicted model, not a curated record.